Long non-coding RNA from Schistocerca gregaria, 291 nucleotides. RefSeq lists it as uncharacterized. NCBI's taxonomy places the organism in Eukaryota, Metazoa, Arthropoda, Insecta, Orthoptera, Acrididae. The transcript is spliced from 3 exons. The record is from RefSeq and is a predicted model, not a curated record.
CUGCACAUACGUGCCUUUGCUCGAAGCACUUCGAGGAGAAAUGUUUUGAUAGGGCUAAGACUGGAGGGAAUUGGCUAAGAAGUGAUGCUAUCCCGACACUUUUCGAUUUUCCGGAGCAUAUGAAAUCGAAGAGGACUAAGCUCCGUAAAUCACACACUAGAAGGCGUUCGUUAGAUGAUGCCUCGUCUUCUGAAGUCUGUGCUUCCAAUGCCUUGACGUUAUGCGAUAUGGAAACGAACACCUCGAAAAACAAAAGUUUCAGGUAUAUUGGGGACUUUUCGAAUAGCGAUU